This 253-nucleotide ribosomal RNA is filed under the name uncultured bacterium. RNAcentral's name for it is "partial 16S ribosomal RNA". It matches the Rfam family "Bacterial small subunit ribosomal RNA", at positions 524 to 776 of the family's 1533-position model. The record is from RNAcentral.
UACAGAGGGGGCAAGCGUUGUUCGGAAUUACUGGGCGUAAAGGGCGCGUAGGCGGCCUUCUAAGUCGAACGUGAAAUCCCUGGGCUCAACCCAGGAACUGCGUCCGAUACUGGAAGGCUUGAAUCCGGGAGAGGGAUGCGGAAUUCCAGGUGUAGCGGUGAAAUGCGUAGAUAUCUGGAGGAACACCGGUGGCGAAGGCGGCAUCCUGGACCGAUACUGACGCUGAGGAGCGAAAGCCAGGGGAGCAAACGGG